GGAGGGGUACCAAAGUGGUCAAAUGGGGCGGACUGUAAAUCCGUUGGCGUUGCCUUCGUAGGUUCGAAUCCUACCCCCUCCACCA
This 85-nucleotide transfer RNA is filed under the name Bacillus thermozeamaize. Its description in RNAcentral is "tRNA-Tyr". It matches the Rfam family "tRNA". From Rfam's summary of the family: Transfer RNA (tRNA) molecules are approximately 80 nucleotides in length. Lineage: Bacteria; Bacillati; Bacillota; Bacilli; Caryophanales; Bacillaceae. The record is from RNAcentral.